CCGUAAGUGGACGAAACACAUGCCGCAUGUGACCAGAGUCUUUUCGUCCGCUUUCGUGGUUUGACUUGGCCUCUUGUGCUCCAGUUCUGGCCUUGAGGAAGGCAUGUCCCAGAAAGCCGUAGGCCCUGCAGGAAUAAAAGACCCACAAAGUGAAUGGAAACCCAGCCAUGGCCAGAACAGCGCUGAACCUGGCUCCCCUGCUGAUGCAGCCAUGAACUGAAUUGUGAAUGAGAAGAGAAACACUUUGGGCUCCAUGCUUGCAUCAGAAUAUGGACCCCAGUCACUGGAUUAGGGCCCAUCGCAACCCAGCAUUACCUCAUCUUAACUUGGUGACACCUGCAAAGACUCUGCUUGCCAGUAAGAUCACACUCUGAAGUCCUGGGGCAGGAUUUCAACAUAUCUCAUGAGAGGACACGACUCACCCACAGCAGAAAGGGACAGGGAAAAAGGGUUUUGGGAGGGGUGUUUGUUUGGUCCCCAGAUGUGCUGCGUGGAGAUAUUGCAUCAGGAUGAUGGAGACGUCAGAAAACAGAGCAGCCAGCCUGGAGUCGGCUGGCAUGGAACGGAUGAAUUACGCAUCCCCAGAACUGCCUACCUCCGGACUUUUUUACGAGGUCAUUAAAUAUCCUUACUGUUAAGUCCAUUUUUACUCAUUGCUUGCAACGG
Long non-coding RNA from Bos taurus (domestic cattle), 666 nucleotides. The record is from Ensembl. Lineage: Eukaryota; Metazoa; Chordata; Mammalia; Artiodactyla; Bovidae.